CUCUAGAGCAGGGGCAGUCAAAAGGCAGACUCUCAGUGGUCAUGCAACUCCCAUGAUGCUUUGCCAGCUGGUAAUAACGUGUAGAAUGUAAGCAUGCUUGUGUUUGUAGUAUGUGUGUGAAUGUAGGAGUGUCUUUGUAUUAACCAUUGCCAUUUGAAAAGCAGUGUGUUUGUAUGUAAAUUUGGUGAAUGCCAGUAUUUAUUUGUUUAUAAUGUUUGAAUGCAGGGGGGUAUUUGUGUGUAGUGUUUGCGUUUGAAUGGAGGGGUGUGUUUAUAUGAAGUGUUGGCAUUUGAAUGCAGGUGUACAUAUGUGUAGUGUUGGUGCUUGUAUCCUGGGGUGUGUUUGUAUGUAGUGUUGAUUUUGACAGCAG
Non-coding RNA from Pelobates cultripes (western spadefoot toad), 370 nucleotides. The record is from the annotation of a GenBank genome assembly. NCBI's taxonomy places the organism in Eukaryota, Metazoa, Chordata, Amphibia, Anura, Pelobatidae.